RNAcentral lists this ribosomal RNA (509 nucleotides) under uncultured beta proteobacterium. RNAcentral describes it as "bacterial SSU rRNA". It matches the Rfam family "Bacterial small subunit ribosomal RNA", at positions 61 to 564 of the family's 1533-position model. The record is from RNAcentral. Lineage: Bacteria; Pseudomonadati; Pseudomonadota; Betaproteobacteria.
GUCGAACGGCAGCACGGGUGCUUGCACCUGGUGGCGAGUGGCGAACGGGUGAGUAAUACAUCGGAACGUACCUUAUCGUGGGGGAUAACGCAGCGAAAGCUGUGCUAAUACCGCAUACGCCCUGAGGGGGAAAGCGGGGGAUCGAAAGACCUCGCGCGAUUAGAGCGGCCGAUGCCUGAUUAGCUUGUUGGUGGGGUAAAAGCCCACCAAGGCGACGAUCAGUAGCUGGUCUGAGAGGACGAUCAGCCACACUGGGACUGAGACACGGCCCAGACUCCUACGGGAGGCAGCAGUGGGGAAUUUUGGACAAUGGGGGCAACCCUGAUCCAGCAAUGCCGCGUGAGUGAAGAAGGCCUUCGGGUUGUAAAGCUCUUUUGUCAGGGAAGAAACACCGGCUCUAACACAGUCCGGGAAUGACGGUACCUGAAGAAUAAGCACCGGCUAACUACGUGCCAGCAGCCGCGGUAAUACGUAGGGUGCGAGCGUUAAUCGGAAUUACUGGGCGUAAA